Molecule: ribosomal RNA, 486 nt
Filed under: uncultured bacterium
Lineage: Bacteria
Description: partial 16S ribosomal RNA
Rfam family: Bacterial small subunit ribosomal RNA
Source: RNAcentral
GACGAACGCUGGCGGCGUGCUUAACACAUGCAAGUCGAACGCUGAAGACCUGGCUUUUGUGGGUGUGGGUGUGUGGAGCACGGGUGUGUAACGCGUGAGUACCCUCCCCUCUUCUUUGGGAUCACGCGCGAAAACGGGUGCUAAUCCUGGAUGUUCACUGGUCUUCGCGUGGGGGUUGGUGGGUAUGGUUGUUCUGGUAUGGAAUGGGCUCGCGGCCUCUCAGCGGGGUGGUGGGGUGAUGGCCUACCAAGGCGUGGACGGGUAGCCGGACUGGGAGGGUGACCGGUCACAUUGGGACUGAGAUCCGGCCCAGACUCCUACGGGAGGCAGCAGUGGGGAAUAUUGCACAAUGGGCGAAAGCCGGAUGCAGCGACGCCGCGUGAGGGAUGGAGGCCUUCGGGUUGGAAACCUCUUUCGCUCAUGGUCAAGCCGCAACUGUGGGUUGUGGUGAGGGUAGUGGGUAAAGAAGCGCCGGCUAACUACGUG